Molecule: RNA transcript, 10939 nt
Organism: Mytilus californianus (California mussel)
Lineage: Eukaryota; Metazoa; Mollusca; Bivalvia; Mytilida; Mytilidae
Exons: 3
Source: RefSeq, a predicted model, not a curated record
AAUCCAAUACAGCUUUUGGAUUAUCUUCUGAUUCCAGCUGAUCUGUAUUGUUUAUAUUUGUAUUUCCUAAGCUUCGAGUAUUCACGAUUCAUUUUAUAGAAAUGUUUUUUUAUAAAGAGGUCAUAUUGAAAUCGUGAAUAAGUUUUUCCAUAGUUGAGCAAGUUAUCCUUAGCUUGGUGUAAACUUGCAUCAAACCACUUCUUGUUGUUGUUUUUUUUAUUUUAUCUAAAAUAAAAAAAAAACUGGUAUGAUUGGCAAUAAGAUGACUAUCCAUCAGAGUCCUUAUGAAGCAGAUUUAAGCAUAUAUAGGUCAUAAUGAAAAUUAACAAAACAGCGAUUCAACAUUACAAUGAGCGAAACCCAUACUGUAUAUAGUCACAUAUAAAAGAUCCCGACAUGACAAAAUGUGAAACAAUUCAAUCGAAAACAACGGUCUGAAUUAUGACAAAACAUUUAACAUAAAACAAAUAUCGAUACACAGCAAUCAAUGACAACCACUGACUUUCAUGCUCCUGACUUGGGACAAGCCCAUAUAUAUUUUGUGAGAGCUCAACCCUUACCUAACCUGGUGUAACAGGUGUGUUACAGUACAACAUACGAAUAAACUGUAAAAAUCAGUUGGAAAUGAAUCGACUCAUUAGAUCGGCAAGGAGCACAAAAAACACUUGCAUGAAGACAAAAUAUUAAAAAAGUGCGGAAAAUAAGUAACUCGGCGAGGUCAGUCGCAGUUACUGAAAGCUAAAUCAAAGCAAGGAUUUGUAUAGAAAUCCAUACAAAUCCUUGAUCAAAGCCAAUAAAAACUAAUAAAUGAAAAUGCAGGCCCAGAAUUUUGAAAAGGGGGCCAAAACUAGGCAACGUUAGCAUUGGAACAUGUAAAAAGUCUAUGCAUUAACCAUAUAUGUAGCUCCACAAGGGGGACAGGCCCCUGUCCGUCCUUCUAAAUCCGUCUCUGAAAUAAAUCAUUUUCUCCCAGACUGAAGUACCAAUCAGUACACAUCCAACGGAUUUGGUUAAAAGUCUUACAAAAAAAGUAUGAGAAAAGCAUGACCUAAUGCAAUGCCAAAAUAUAAGUACAAAUAUAAAUCAAUGAAUAAUCAACACACUGAAUAAUAAGCAGGAAAUGUUCUUCCUUUACUUAAUUGCUGUUUCGUAUAAAUUUAACAAUUGUUAAUAUAAUAACAGCAUUCAAGUUCAAAUCGCAUAGUGUUAUUCAUUUUGGAUCCAUAUAUACGCAGUCUCUGUAGUUAAUACUUAACCUCCUUGAACUUUGGAACUUUAGAAUUAUACAAGUUUGAUUUGGUUUUAAAUUUGUAUUACGUUCAAGAUUGUUUUAGUGAAAUCAGAAUAGAUUGAUAUGAAUCAUUUUGCUUCAUACUGAUGAAGGAUAUAUGUUAUCCGAAAUAUUUAUUGUUACCUUUUUUUUAAAAUUGGUAUUGUUUUGAACACUUUUAGGCCAAUUUAAUUUAUUGUGUACAGUAUCGUUUUACAUAACCAUCCAACGCCCUCGUAAGACAGCUCGUUGACUAAUAUCUAGACGUUUUAUGUGUUUGGAUGUCUUGUGUAAAAAUGUUUGUUGAAUGUGGUGAGAAUUUAAUAAACUAUUGAAUCCAGAAAAGAAUGUUGAUUGUCCAGAUAAAAACUUACUAAUCCGGAAAAUGACAAUAGACUUUAUUAAAAAGUAUGUAUGCUAUAGUGUCAGCUGAGCUGGGAGCUAAAAUCUGCCAACACACUAUUUCAUUUUUCUACAAAUUCUGAUAUGAAGUAACAUAUGUUGAAUUGCAAUAAUCAUAAAUAAAUGAUUGAUCUAUAGAAAUUUUCUGAUGGAUUUUUCUUAUUCUUCGCUUUUUUGACUCAUUAAAUUAUUGUCAUUUGGGUAAUUUUUUUAUGGAUAAUGUAAUUAAACAUUUUGCUAUACUCCACAUAAUCCGUAUUGGAUGUUUACACCUUUUAUUUAUUACAUUAUCAAUAUAAUACAUGUUUUUAUAAUGUACUUGAAUUAUAACUUUAAACUCACUGAUAACAAUGCUCAGUAUUAAAGAUAACUUGUAUAACUAGUGGAACAUAUUUCAAAGACAAGGAACAUAAGAAGUAAAUUGUCACGUUGUGUUUGUUGCUUAAUUGGGUUGCUGUCUAAAUUAAUUAUGUAUAUUUCACAUCUCCUUAAAAAUCAUUCAUAGAAAUUAAACAUUGCUUAAAAUAUGUUAGCAUACAUGUAUAAAUGCUUUUAUCGUCUGAGAGUAGUUUUUUGUUCUUCUUAUAUUCCUUUUUAGAUAUAUUUUUUGUCUUUCUGUUCUUCAACGUCUGCUAUCUUGCUAUGAAGAGCUAGCUAGGUAGAUCUAGACAACAUCCAACUUAGCCCAACGAUCUUGUGGUGUGUGCGGGGGCAUUUAUUAUGUAAUGAGUGAAAGGGAUGAGUCGCUGGGAUAGAUCACUAUUUGAAGCUUCAUGAUAUUGCAUGAGGUCGAGAAAUUUAGAUGAAAUAUAAGACAAGGUUGAUGAUUGAAUCUGAAACUAAUCAGAUGUCGAUAUUUUUUUUUUACAGAUGCAAUUAAAAUCACAAGAGAUUGUGUAUAUAUGUCUCUAAAAUCACUUUCGUAAAUGUUUAAGAUAUUUGUCAAAUCUAUUUACUAGUAUCUCCCCAUGAAAUAGCGUAACAAUAAUAGCUAUGUGCAGGUAUAUAUACUUAUUGUAAAAAAUAUAUGAUAGCUAGGGUAACUACAUGUAUGUUUUUGUAUCAUUCAAUAUAUAUAUAUAUAUAUAGGAAAAAAAUAAGGCUGAAAAUGCACCAAAUUUCAACACUAUACAUAACAAUUUAUCAUUUUUACAGAGCGACCAGAGGAUGUUGAAAUUAUUUAAUUCACACAAAGUAAUUAAAAGCAAACGGCAACCGAAAUCAUUAAAAAAAUUGUUGACCCGCGCAACAUUCCAAACUGAAAAUAGUCAACCAAAGGUACAAAAAUAUGGACGACCAAACCGUGAAUCUUGUUUAUAAUUAUCCGAAGGAACACUAUUCGUUUUUAAAUCAGGACACAUUUUUAAAAUCAAGAACAGUUUUACAUGUGCAUCGGAAAAUCUUCUAUACAUCAUCACUUGCAGUGGUUGUCAAGAAAAUUAUAUUGGACAAACCGGCAAUACCAUUAGAAAACGAAUGAUAGUACAUAGACAGCAAAUUCGAGUCCCGAGCACAAGAAAAAUCCCACUUAGCGAACAUAUUGAUAGAUGCGCUGGAUCAAAUCAUCCAGAUUUCUUCCUUUUUCCAUUUUAUCAGUGUUCAGAUAAUACAACGGAACCAAUGAGAAAUAUAAAGAAAAUUAUUUUAUUAAGAAAUACCAUCCUAAAUUAAAUAGAUGAAAUGAGAAUCUGGAAGGCAUUUAUUUAUAAUUAUGUACUUUCACUUUCGUACCUACGUUGUGCUAUAUUAUGACGUUCAGGAUUAAAUAAUAAUGUCGCUGAUGGACGUUACCCCUGACGACGUCGCCAGCAACCAUAUCCUUGAACAUCUGUAAAACAGUGACACCGGUAGGAUACUAUGGAGAACAUUUUUGAACAAUUUGUUGUUGUAAUAGACAAAAUGUGAAUAUUCAUAUUGAAUAUAAAUAUUUGGUGCAUUUUCAGCAUUAUUUUUUCCCCUAUUUUAUGCACAGCGUUGACAAAAUUUAAAACUUUUUAAUAUAAUGUAUAUAUAUUAUAUAGGAGACGGUAACAAUAUUGUAUAUGAAGCGCUAAAACAUUUUAUAUCGAUCGAAAGAUUUGUAAAUAUUGUAACACAUAGAAUCACAUAACAACAGAACAGCAUGGAAACAACUAGGUAUGUUUUUUUUGUUUUAAUUUUUCAACAAAUCUCUAACAGAAUUUAGUUAUGUAAAUUUUCAAAGCAACAAGUCAUGAAAUCAUUAUACAUAAAAAAUGAAUUGAAACGGAACUUUUUAUUUUGCACAGUUGACUUUAAUUGUGUGCUAGAAAAAAAUCGACCACAAGAUCCGGGAUAAAAUAAAAACGUUCAUCGACUGUAACUCUAUCCUAAGACUUAAAGCGUAUAUAUGGUUGAAUUGUUGUGUAUAAUUUAACAGGUAAAGUGGCUUUUUUAUUUCAUUUCAUUGAUUGAUACGUGUUUAAUUCAACGGGGUGAGUAUUAGUAUUAAUUUUAUAUUUGUGUCGUAGGUAUUAAAAUCGGUCAAAACAAAAGUUGUUUUUCAGUUACUCUAACACAUGCUAGAUGCGUCAGUUAAUUGCAAAUAAUUGUUUGGAAAUGAGAGUACAAUGCAAUGUAGUUGUCCUACGAACAUACAUGCUUCAGUUUUCUUGAGGCUUAUAAGCCGAAUCCGCUGUGCUAUCUCAAUUAAUAACUGAAAUUGUGUUGAAAAAUUUAUUUCGUGAUGUUAAUUCAAGUCAUAUAAAACGAGUUUCUUGUAAUUUUAAUGGAAUAUUUACAAAGCAUGCAUGCAAAACAAUACAAUACAUUAUAUAUUGGAUAUGUAAAAAAAGAUGAUGUGUGAUGAUGUGAAUGGUUGUACAUAAUAUACAUGCAUGUUAUUGUUCUAUACUAUACAAUUAGAAACAUCUUUGACUCUUUAAUAAAUUCAUAUACAUUCUUUAAAUUUUUGUUCAUCUUCAUCAUAAGUUAAUAACGAAUAACAGGUACUUAGGCUUUUGAAUUUAGUUUGAUAUUUUUUAAUUCGGUUUUAGAUUUACCUUAAGAGUCAAUGUUGCGUGUUACCACGUUAAGGUUAUUCCACAGUCGUAGAGUUGAAGGUAUAAAAGAUUCUUGGAUCAAUGAGAGUCUACAAAAAGGAGCGACCAGAGGAUGUUGAAAUUAUUUAAUUCACACAAAGUAAUUAAAAGCAAACGGCAACCGAAAUCAUUAAAAAAAUUGUUGACCCGCGCAACAUUCCAAACUGAAAAUAGUCAACCAAAGGUACAAAAAUAUGGACGACCAAACCGUGAAUCUUGUUUAUACUUAUCCGAAGGAACACUAUUCGUUUUUAAAUCAGGACACAUUUUUAAAAUCAAGAACAGUUUUACAUGUGCAUCGGAAAAUCUUCUAUACAUCAUCACUUGCAGUGGUUGUCAAGAAAAUUAUAUUGGACAAACCGGCAAUACAUUUGGAAACGAAUGAUAGUACAUAGACAGCAAAUUCGAGUCCCGAGCACAAGAAAAAUCCCACUUAGCGAACAUAUUGAUAGAUGCGCUGGAUCAAAUCAUCCAAAUUUCUUCCUUUUUCCAUUUUAUCAGUGUUCAGAUAAUACAACGGAACCAAUGAGAAAUAUAAAGCAAAUUAUUUUAUUAAGAAAUACCAUCCUAAAUUAAAUAGAUGAAAUGAGAAUCUGGAAGGCAUUUAUUUAUAAUUAUGUACUUUCACUUUCGUACCUACGUUGUGCUAUAUUAUGACGUUCAGGAUUAAAUAAUAAUGUCGCUGAUGGACGUUACCCCUGACGACGUCGCCAGCAACCAUAUCCUUGAACAUCUGUAAAACAGUGACACCGGUAGGAUACUAUGGAGAACAUUUUUGAACAAUUUGUUGUUGUAAUAGACAAAAUGUGAAUAUUCAUAUUGAAUAUAAAUAUUUGGUGCAUUUUCAGCAUUAUUUUUUCCCCUAUUUUAUGCACAGCGUUGACAAAAUUUAAAACUUUUUAAUAUAAUGUAUAUAUAUCAUAUAGGAGACGGUAACAAUAUUGUAUAUGAAGCGAUAAAACAUUUUGUAUCGAUCGAAAGAUUUGUAAAUAUUGUAACACAUAGAAUCACAUGACAACAGAACAGCAUGGAAACAACUAGGUAUGUUUUUUUUGUUUUAAUUUUUCAACAAAUCUCUAACAGAAUUUAGUUAUGUAAAUUUUCAAAGCAACAAGUCAUGAAAUCAUUAUACAUAAAAAAUGAAUUGAAACGGAACUUUUUAUUUUGCACAGUUGACUUUAAUUGUGUGCUAGAAAAAAAUCGACCACAAGAUCAGGGAUAAAAUAAAAACGUUCAUCGACUGUAACUCUAUCCUAAGACUUAAAGCGUAUAUAUGGUUGAAUUGUUGUGUAUAAUUUAACAGGCUUCAACUUAUGAAGUCAAAUAUAUUUUAAAUCUACCAUGCUAACAUAACAACAACUUAUUUGGACUAUGAUAAAUCUACCAUGCUAACAUAACAACAACUUAUUUGGACUAUGAUAAAUCUACCAUGCUAACAUAACAACAACUUAUUUGGACUAUGAUAAAUCUACCAUGCUAACAUAACAACAACUUAUUUGGACUAUGAUAAAUCUACCAUGCUAACAUAACAACAACUUAUUUGGACUAUGAUAAAUCUACCAUGCUAACAUAACAACAACUUAUUUGGACUAUGAUAAAUCUACCAUGCUAACAUAACAACAACUUAUUUGGACUAUGAUAAAUCUACCAUGCUAACAUAACAACAACUUAUUUGGACUAUGAUGAAUCUACCAUGCUAACAUAACAACAACUUAUUUGGACUAUGAUAAAUCUACCAUGCUAACAUAACAACAACUUAUUUGGACUAUGAUAAAUCUACCAUGCUAACAUAACAACAACUUAUUUGGACUAUGAUAAAUCUACCAUGCUAACAUAACAACAACUUAUUUGGACUAUGAUAAAUCUACCAUGCUAACAUAACAACAACUUAUUUGGACUAUGAUAAAUCUACCAUGCUAACAUAACAACAACUUAUUUGGACUAUGAUAAAUCUACCAUGCUAACAUAACAACAACUUAUUUGGACUAUGAUAAAUCUACCAUGCUAACAUAACAACAACUUAUUUGGACUAUGAUAAAUCUACCAUGCUAACAUAACAACAACUUAUUUGGACUAUGAUAAAGGUCUUAUAUUGUUUAUGAUCUUCUUGUUUACUUAUAUAUGGAAAUUGGAGAAUCUGGACUCCUAAUACUUCACGUUUUUCGUCUUACAUUAAUUGACUGGAUCUAACAUACACAAGUCGUCGUGUAAUUCUUAUAAUGUUUUAUGUCGACGUUUGAUGAAAAUGCAGACAUUUAUAUAUACUGACGAACUUUUUAAAAACGCAACACUAGAUUAUUCUUUUUAAUUCUCAUUUUCAAAUAUGCAAUUUUUGUUGAACAAAUGUAUAAAUAUCAAUUUCAUUCAUUAAUUUAUUGUCUAAAAAUAAAAAAAAAAAUUGCAGUUCGAAGAUUUGAUUUGAUUACGUCAUGUUUAAUGUUCAAAUUAUGUGGUAUGCACUGAAACCCUGGUUUUCCCCUUAUCAAUGAUUGUGUCACCGUCGAAGGCAAUGAAUGCAUGUAAUCAACGCCUAAAUGAUUGACAGAAAGGUCAACCAAUUCUUUUAUGCAUGUUUUGAGUUCUGUUUUGUACCUUCUGAUUUAGCCUCUGUCCCACCCUCACAAUGUGUUUUGGCAUUUAUGCGGUUUAAGCUGUAGGGCUUGGGCAUUUCAGUAUAUGGGAAACAUUAAUGGCGUAAAUCUGUCUGCAAUGACAAUCGACGACUUGAUUAGCAGUUGACGUUGCGACCGUAAACAUGUCUUGCAAAUGACGUUGUGUAAUAAAAUUUCAUUGAUGUUGCGUUGUCACUACAUAUUCUAGUGCAACCAUUUUGUAUCAAUGGUUCUGAUUGGAUGACAAUCAGCGUACAAUUCUCCAUCUCCCUGUUUGUAACUAGGGGAAGCCGACAUUUGGGAUUCCGGAAUGUAUGAACAUGUAAUAUCUCCAAUGAUAAGCAAAAAAACUCACAUUUGCACCUAGAAAUCUUCUUUUUAUCAAUUUAUAAUUAGAUUCUAAGGCGGACAAGAAGACAGAAAACGCCCGGUGCUUACGUUUAGUUUCGGUGCCAAAGAAGAUAACAUCAUUUUGCAGACUUUUCGUUUAAUGAAAAUUUAACACCGAAAUUAUGACUAAAAUUCAAAGAUUAGUUAAUUUGCAUCAGAAUAGAGAUAACUGUAUUGCAUUUGAAGCUUUGCAGACGUCCAUCUGUAGUGUUACUGUUGCAAACUGAGUUAACCUGGCGACAGUAGGGGAGACAGGAAAACGGAUAUUUGCGAUGGACGUCCGGAAAGCUUCUAUUUAGAGUUGUUAUGAAUAUAAUAUGUGUUUUCAGCCGUGUAUCUUGUUUAGACGUACUUAUCAAAAUUAUUAUUUCUGUGACUGUAUCAUACGAUCCUUUACGAUAUAUAUUUAGCUAAUCUGCAAUCAAUUCCAUCUUCAUGCCUUAUAUAUCAUGUACUGUGUUACAACUCUAGAUUCUACUGACGAGGAAAAGUAACACCAGGCCACCGAAAGCUGAAUUAUUAGUCCACUCUAGGUGGCCGUACGGUCUAGAGCGCUGGACACAGUGCAGGCGGUGUUGUCUCGAUAUCCCGAUAGUAUGAGUUCGAAUCCCGGCGAGGGAAGAACAAAAAUUUGCUUCCGCACAUUUGUAGAUUUAACAUUGUUGUGCUGAUAUUUAGAGUGGUUAUGAAUACAAUAUGUGUUUUCAGCCGUGUGUAUCACCUUCACUGGUGAUCCAAUCAAUGGAUCUGUCGUAGAGUUGUCACUUGUUUAGAGGUACUUAUCAACAUAAUCAUUUCUGUGACUGUAUCAUACGAUCCUUUACGAUAGAUAUUUAGCUAAUCUGCAAUCAAUUCCAUCUUCAUGCCUAAUAUAUCAUGUACUGUGUUACAACUCUAGAUUCUACUGACGAGGAAAGGUAACACUAGGCCACCGAAAGCUGAAUUUUUAGUUCACUCUAGGUGGCCGUGUGGUCUAGAGCCCUAAUAUAUACUACUUGGUCCAUUUAAGCUUUUUAAAACGUAUUCUCAAAGUAACGGUUUUUAACUGUUAGCUAUAAGUUAUAUUGUGAAUUAUGGAGAUUCCCUAUAUUUGUCAAUACGUAUUGUAGUGUGUUGAAAUAUUGGUUCAAACUAUUAUAUACUGAUAAUUGUAUUCUAAAGUGUUGUUCUGAAGAAAUGUUACAAAGGUCUAUGGUUAGAUAUAAUGAAAUGUGCAACUGGACAUGUAAGUUUAAAAUUACUUAUAUCAAAAAAAGAUAUUAUACUGUGUGAUAUAACAAAGGUUUUAAUAAUACUGAAUUAAUUCUUCAAGAGAAGAACAUAUGUUGUGACGUUUUGGAUUUCAAUGAACGUAAUCUAUGUAUUACUGGAAAAUUAUUAAGUCAGGGAUUUCGUUACCAUAAAGUACUUAAAACCUUUACUUAAUUCUUCCAUAGAUACAAAGAUUUGAUUUGGAAGUUUGGCUGUACCUGUAGAACGCUUAUUUGAAACGGGAUAGCACAUCCUCAUUUUAACGGAUAUGUUGUUUACCGAACCCGGAAAUUUAGAUACGAUCCUGGUAAACGUAUCGAUCCUUUAAAUAAACUUAUUCUAAAAGGUUACCAAUUCAACACUGUAAUAAGAUUUUUGAAUAAUUGUUUUUAUUGAUAUAAAUAUUGAUUUUGUUAUCAGUAAGUUAAUAUCAAAUUAAAUAUUAUUUGUAUAUACAUGGCUCUACAAUCUGUUGAUACCUGUAUCUUGGCAUUGCACAAGAUCAUGUUUUUCUCUGACUGUAAAUGACGUCUUUUCCUAAAUCCAUUGGAUGUUGGAUGUGUACUGAUUGAUAUGUAAGUCUCAGAUACAUGAUUUUUUUAUUAGUUAUUAGCUUUGAACUAGCGGUCAGUAACUGCGAAAACUCUCAGAUCUGUAUUUAGUGUCUUUUUUUGUUGUGGGGUUGUACGAAUACCCUGCCACGUCCGGUCUGUGAUUUUGUUAGACGCUUUUCUUUUUUGUAUCAUUCUUAUGAGUUAAACCCUUUUCAAAUGAUCUUUACAGUUUGUUCUUAUGUUGUACUGUUACACCAUUGUCCCAGGUUCGGGAAAGGGUUUGGCGCCAACAAACUAGAUUAACCCCGCCACAUUAUUUAUGUGCCUAUUCCAAGACAGGAGCCUGUUCUUCAUUGGUUGCCGAUUGUUGCUGUAUAUCAUAUAUUGUUUUUCGUUCAUUGUUUUGUACAUAACUCAGGCCGUUAGUUUUCUCGUUUGAAUUGUUUUACAUUUGUCAUUUUGGUGACUUUUAUAGCUGACUUUGCGGUAUGGAUUUUUGCUCAUUGUCGAAGACCGUACGUUUACCUAUAGUUGUCAUUUGGUCUCUGGUGGAGAGUUUCAUUGGCAAUUAUACCAAAUCUUCUUUUUUUUUAUAUGAAACAUAAUUUUGUGACUGAAAUGAAUGUCUAUUUUAAAAAAGUCGUCGAAAUGUUAUUUUUAUAUAUCUAUUUUACUAUUUAUGAUCCAUAUUGGUUGCAAUUUUGUUUAGAUCGCAGUGUGAAUUAUAUGUACAAAUCGUUCAUUUGCAAAAAAAAAAAACGUUUAUCUUCUCAUAACGUAGCUGUAGACAGAGGUAUAACAUUGAUAGAAAUAUGAGUUUAUGGCACAUAUGUGACAAACAUUUAAUUGAAUACGAAUAUCAUUUUAUUUUUGUUUGUGAAAAAUAUGCUAAUAUAAGAAAAGUGUAUAUCAAAACUUGUUGUUGGAGAAGACCACCCAGUUUCAAAGUGGUACAACUACUGUCUGUUCAUAAUGUAAAAGAAUUGAAUAAUUUAGGAAAUAUUCAUUUCUUGCUGAAAAUUCUUGACUGUAUUUUAUAUUCACGCCGUUGUGAUUUCAUAUUGUUUGUACAUUUAUUAAUAGCUGGACACUGAUGCUGUUGUGAUGUGAAUAUUUGUUAAAUGUAUAUAUUCUAUGAGCUGUUUGCUUACGAAUAAAAUUAUCAAUUUUACUGGCAAUCCAAAUGUCUUGGCCUCCAUUGUAUGUGAUCUAAGUAAUGCUAGAAUCUCGUGUCGUGCCCACGAAAAAAUGUAUCUUAAAUUUAUAUAUUUUGUUACUAUAUUAUUUAUAAUGUGUUCUUGUAAGUGAAGCGAAUAACAUGGUUGCUCUCUCGGACACGUGAAAUAUUUCACCAUUCAGUAAAAUGAAGUCAAUAUCAGGUGUUCUAUUGAUUGUUUUCUU